UGACUUUGUGAUUGUGGUAACUAGUUAUGACGACCCUUAAGUAGUUGUUAGCUUAGCCAGUUAGCUACUUCAGUUAGCUACACCUGUGUUGGAAAGUGGGAUGUUUUUCUGAUGUUGGUUGACAUGAGAUGACACCUCUUUGGUUGUCUAUAGACUGUCAACUGCUAUGGUGUUUUCUAGCUACAAGAACAGAGACCUGAAUUGACUGAAGGUGUGUAUUGUUAGCCUCCUGCCUGGAUGUUAGAGCUGUGAUGGUGGUGUGUCCCCUGCCUUCAUUGUGACUCCUGUCCACCACCUCCGUCUCCCUGCCCAGUGUGUGUGCCACCAUGACCCUGAAUCUUCUCCUGGUCCUGGGGCUCUUUUUGCUGCCUUGUCUGUCAUCCCAUGUUAUCAGCGAGUACUGCGUUAUAGCCAGACAUAAAAUGACAAAUCAAACCCAAUGCUUGGAAGCAUGCUUACUGUAUACGACCUGUGAUCGUUUUGUCUUUUGGAAAGAGAACUACACCUGCUUUUUCUUGAAGUGUCCUAAUGGCACCAACUGCAAUGAUAUCGCCGUCGAUGACCUGAUAAGGAUACAAGAUAAAAACAUCAGUGGUCUUAAGUGUGAAGCUGGACCUACCACUGGGUCUUCAAGUUCCAUAACUUCAUCAGAAAUCUAUCAAAACCCCACUGCUCCUGAAUUGACAGCCAGCAAUAAUGCCAAUCAAAUUACAGACACCUCUGCCCUCAAUGAGACUGACUCUACCUUGCAUUUUCGUGAGGAUAAUGGGCAGGCCCCCAUCUCCACUGCAUUUACUACCAUGACUGCAGCACCCAUGCCAGCCGCUAAGAAUGACACCUUCAUUCCCAGUAAGACUGUUAGCAAUGCCUCCAGAGGAACUACAGUACCUGACAUACCCCUUAAGUCAACAGUCCAAACCUCAGAGACAACCACUUCAGUAAAGCAGGAACCUAGAACUACAACGACUCCCUCAGCCCUGACCUCUCCACCAGCCAAUCCACAGAUGACGACAACAGCAUUAUCAACAACAAAUACCACUACUAUCACCACUGUAGUACCAAUAACAGCAAUGCUGUUAACUACCACCACCACCACAACACAACCAACUACCACCACAACACAACCAACUACCACCACAACACAACCAACUACCACCACAACACAACCAACUACCACCAC
Long non-coding RNA from Salvelinus namaycush (lake trout), 1180 nucleotides. RefSeq lists it as uncharacterized. The record is from RefSeq and is a predicted model, not a curated record. NCBI's taxonomy places the organism in Eukaryota, Metazoa, Chordata, Actinopteri, Salmoniformes, Salmonidae. The transcript has 4 exons.